RNAcentral lists this microRNA precursor (95 nucleotides) under Oryza punctata. RNAcentral's name for it is "pre miRNA MIR439". It matches the Rfam family "MIR439 microRNA precursor family". Lineage: Eukaryota; Viridiplantae; Streptophyta; Magnoliopsida; Poales; Poaceae. The record is from RNAcentral.
AACUAACCUGUCAAACUAGGGCAGUUCGAUAGGUACCUGUCGAACUGCGCCAGUUCGAUAGGUACCCCUAUCGAACUGCCCCAGUUCGAUAGGUA